AAUCGCUGCACAGUUAUAUAUUUUUAUGUAUUUUAUUGUAUUUUGCUACUAUGUGGCUAAUGGAGUUUUGCCUCUGUCCUUGGAGAUAAUUGGAUUACUUCCCAAUUAUCUCCAGGAUAGAAGACUCUGUGGAACUGGUUUUGGGCAGAAAAACCAUGCUUCAUUUUGUCAAAUAGGACUUUCCCUUAACUUUUUAACCCCUG
This 203-nucleotide long non-coding RNA is filed under the name Pelobates cultripes (western spadefoot toad). Lineage: Eukaryota; Metazoa; Chordata; Amphibia; Anura; Pelobatidae. The record is from RNAcentral.